GACGAACGCUGGCGGCGUGCCUAAUACAUGCAAGUAGAACGCUGAAGCGAGGAGCUUGCUCUUCUUGGAUGAGUUGCGAACGGGUGAGUAACGCGUAGGUAACCUGCCUUGUAGCGGGGGAUAACUAUUGGAAACGAUAGCUAAUACCGCAUAACAAUGGAUGACACAUGUCAUUUAUUUGAAAGGGGCAAUUGCUCCACUACAAGAUGGACCUGCGUUGUAUUAGCUAGUAGGUGAGGUAAUGGCUCACCUAGGCGACGAUACAUAGCCGACCUGGGAGGGUGAUCGGCCACACUGGGACGGAGACACGGCCCAGACUCCUACGGGAGGCAGCAGUAGGGAAUCUUCGGCAAUGGGGGCAACCCUGACCGAGCAACGCCGCGGGAGUGAAGAAGGUUUUCGGAUCGGAAAGAUCUGGUGUAAGUCAAGAACGGGUGUGAGAGUGGAAAGUGCACACUGUGACGGUAGCUUACCAGAAAGGGACGGCUAACUACGUG
RNAcentral lists this ribosomal RNA (497 nucleotides) under uncultured bacterium. Its description in RNAcentral is "partial 16S ribosomal RNA". It matches the Rfam family "Bacterial small subunit ribosomal RNA", at positions 28 to 507 of the family's 1533-position model. The record is from RNAcentral.